RNAcentral lists this small nucleolar RNA (73 nucleotides) under Pogona vitticeps (central bearded dragon). RNAcentral describes it as "Small nucleolar RNA SNORD24 (ENSPVIG00000013354.1)". It matches the Rfam family "Small nucleolar RNA SNORD24". From Rfam's summary of the family: U24 is a member of the C/D class of snoRNA which contain the C (UGAUGA) and D (CUGA) box motifs. C/D box snoRNAs have been shown to act as methylation guides for a number of RNA targets. U24 is encoded within an intron of the gene for ribosomal protein L7a in mammals, chicken and Fugu. Lineage: Eukaryota; Metazoa; Chordata; Lepidosauria; Squamata; Agamidae. The record is from Rfam by way of RNAcentral.
UGCAGAUGAUGCAAACAAAUAUUUGCUAUCUGAGUUAACGUGAUGACUCCCAACCACCAAGAUCGCUGAUGCA